UAGGGUGUGUUAUAUUAGUUAAAGCAAUCAAGUUAAGACGGUGGCUAUCCUGAAUGGAGGUGGCGCUUAUGGUGUAAACACUAUAAACACACAUUCUAGGAAAGGAGAGGCCUUGUGUCCAUAUCGGACGCGCUACUGGUCAUGUUUGCCUUUGGUGGAUUCAUCAUAAGCUUCUGACUUUUGUAGUUUUGUUAAUCGAAA
This is a non-coding RNA of Leuconostoc mesenteroides subsp. mesenteroides ATCC 8293, 201 nucleotides long. Lineage: Bacteria; Bacillati; Bacillota; Bacilli; Lactobacillales; Lactobacillaceae. The record is from Rfam.